ACUCCUACGGGAGGCAGCAGUGGGGAAUCUUGGACAAUGGGGCGAAACCCUGAUCCAGCCAUGCCGCGUGAGUGAUGAAGGCCUUAGGUCGUAAAGCUCUUUCGCCAGGGAUGAUAAUGACAGUACCUGGUAAAGAAACCCCGGCUAACUCCGUGCCAGCAGCCGCGGUAAUACGGAGGGGGUUAGCGUUGUUCGGAAUUACUGGGGCGUAAAGCGCGCGUAGGCGGACCAGAAAGUUGGGGGUGAAAUCCCCGGGGCUCAACCCCGGAACUGCCUCCAAAACUCCUGGUCUUGAGUUCGAGAGAGGUGAGUGGAAUUCCGAGUGUAGAGGUGAAAUUCGUAGAUAUUCGGAGGAACACCAGUGGCGAAGGCGGCUCACUGGCUCGAUACUGACGCUGAGGUGCGAAAGUGUGGGGAGCAAAACAGGAUUAGAUACCCUGGUAGGAUAGCG
Molecule: ribosomal RNA, 451 nt
Filed under: uncultured bacterium
Lineage: Bacteria
Description: bacterial SSU rRNA
Rfam family: Bacterial small subunit ribosomal RNA
Source: RNAcentral